Molecule: ribosomal RNA, 459 nt
Filed under: uncultured Rhodoferax sp.
Lineage: Bacteria; Pseudomonadati; Pseudomonadota; Betaproteobacteria; Burkholderiales; Comamonadaceae
Description: bacterial SSU rRNA
Rfam family: Bacterial small subunit ribosomal RNA
Source: RNAcentral
GCACAAGCGGUGGAUGAUGUGGUUUAAUUCGAUGCAACGCGAAAAACCUUACCCACCUUUGACAUGUACGGAACCCUUUAGAGAUAGAGGGGUGCUCGAAAGAGAGCCGUAACACAGGUGCUGCAUGGCUGUCGUCAGCUCGUGUCGUGAGAUGUUGGGUUAAGUCCCGCAACGAGCGCAACCCUUGUCAUUAGUUGCUACAUUUAGUUGGGCACUCUAAUGAGACUGCCGGUGACAAACCGGAGGAAGGUGGGGAUGACGUCAAGUCCUCAUGGCCCUUAUAGAUGGGGCUACACACGUCAUACAAUGGCCGGUACAAAGGGCUGCCAACCCGCGAGGGGGAGCCAAUCCCAUAAAACCGGUCGUAGUCCGGAUCGCAGUCUGCAACUCGACUGCGUGAAGUCGGAAUCGCUAGUAAUCGUGGAUCAGCAUGUCACGGUGAAUACGUUCCCGGGCCUU